GCCUUCUGUUGGUGCUCUCCCCGCCGCAGCCCGCGCACAAAAGCUUGCUUGUUAGGGUUAAGCCAUUGGCUUAGUUGGCCCGUCAGGGGCUUCUGGAAGGAUCUGGAUUCCGCAUUUAAUUCAAUAAUGUUUGACUCUCAUCUCGGCACGACGUAAAAUCUGCUGUUCUAUCCCUCUUCCCCUGUCAGCUGCCCCUCCUGGUUUCUCUUGUUUUCCCGUCUCUGUUUACCCCACUAAGAGCUUGCGAAGGUUUCAAAUGGCUUUUGGAUAUAUCAUUACGCAAUAGAGCUUAUCCGCGGCUUUUCUUUUUCUGGCCAGUGAGAUGUGGCUUUCUAAGUACUAGGGAUUGUCCGCCUGAUCCCCCCCCCAACACUUCUCCUCGAUUCUUCGUCCUUCCAAUGCUUGUUAUUUGAUCGUAGCCUCGAUUCGCUAUCAAGAUAUAUCUACGAAUACAUUUGUUCUUUUCCUUCCGGGAUUCUACACCACGCACAUGCACCGCGACCUGGCAUUAUUGUCGUUUUCAUGAUAAGAGGAGCUGGAAGACGCUGAUGUCUUAGUACGGUCCUGCCUCAAUCGAGAGUGGGGGAAUUAUCGGGAGAUGAAUAGGAGUGGUUGAAAGGCAGGUCUAAUCUGGAGGAAGAGGGUGUGGAGCAAUGUUAUAUUAUGGUACGUUACUGUUUACGAUAAAAACGAGCAUUCUACGUUGUCUGUAUAAAGCAGUAUAAAGUGGCAUGAAGGGGGAGGGGGGGGAUGAUCGUCAUAAAUCAUCAAACCCGGAAAACAUUUAAUCAUACAUCGCGUACGGGUGCGUCGCCGUUGGUUAUCUCGUGGAGAAAUAGCGGAUCCGGCUGGUAGAGCAUGACGUGGAAGUGCUCAAUGGCAUGUAUGGAUUUCAGAGACUUCCAGUUUUUAAACCAUAUCACCUAUUAUGUUUCAUACGAUGGUUAGCAGGAAGCAAGAACUCCGACGUUUGCCAUAAGAAGAGAGGGAGAGGAUGAAAUGGAAAGACACAUUGGAAGAGUUAUGAGGUGGCAGGGAGGGAGAAGGGUAGGGGGAUGUUUCCGCUCUCCCACACCUUCUCAGCUGGCAUUCUGGAUCGAAACGUUUCCCCAACAAAGUCGUCGAUCUCCCUUCUCAUGCGCGGAGUCAAGUCAUCCGUGGCAGGGUCAUCUUCUAAUUCAAAUUUGGUCCAGACGACGAGGUGGACGAUGUCCUUCUCCACUCCAUAGGGCCAGUCAUUGUAGAGGAUCUUGAUGUCGUCUAUAUGCGUCAAAAGGGAGAAUUUUGCGCAGAUUCGGAUUCCAAGUCAGUAAGUCCCAAGAAGAAAAAUAGAAGACAUUUCUGUGUCCCUCCAUGCAAUCAACGGGCGAAAAGGAAGGACAAAAGACGGCAUAGAAAUGGGAGGCGAGGGAGGGAAAGGGAUAUUUACCCGGAUGCUGAAACGGUGCAGUCCCUCGUGCUUCUAAAUCGCCCACCCAACGCAGCCUCUUCUGAACCACAAAAUCCAAAACAGAACCAUAUAUUGCUUUAAUCUUUGCAAUAUACUCUAGGUACCUCCUUAAAUCUGAGGGCCAGCGCUGGAGAAGAUGUAUUUGAUUCGAUCCUAGUUUGAUUUUAAGCCUGGUAUAUUAGUCCCCGUUCUUUAAUACAGCCAACAAUAAGCAAUGUUAUUCUUUGCUUCCGUAUUUCCAUUUCUUUUUUUAAUCCACCGAUUUAUAAUACAACGAAGAGAAUAAACACCCACCAACUAUCUCCUUCACAAGGUCCCAGCUCUGCGGCUUAAACUGCGCAUCGGGCGUUGAAAGGGACUUUAUAGACUUCUGAGGUAGAUUGCGGAGGUAUUCUGGACACUCAGAUGGCCAUUG
RNAcentral lists this small RNA (1865 nucleotides) under Histoplasma capsulatum. RNAcentral's name for it is "hypothetical RNA". RNAcentral also lists the same sequence under 1 other name. Lineage: Eukaryota; Fungi; Ascomycota; Eurotiomycetes; Onygenales; Ajellomycetaceae. The record is from RNAcentral.